This is a small nuclear RNA of Xenopus tropicalis (tropical clawed frog), 142 nucleotides long. Its record names the gene U4. It matches the Rfam family "U4 spliceosomal RNA". From Rfam's summary of the family: U4 small nuclear RNA (U4 snRNA) is a component of the major U2-dependent spliceosome. The record is from Ensembl. NCBI's taxonomy places the organism in Eukaryota, Metazoa, Chordata, Amphibia, Anura, Pipidae.
GCCUUUGCGCAGUGGCAGUAUCACAGACAAUGAGGUCAAACCGAGGCGUGAUUUUUGCUAAUUGUGAUGAAAGCGGAGGGGCUGUGUUUCCAUUAGGGAAGACCUGCUGACUUAUUUUUUGUCGGGGGCUUCGCACAUGCUC